This 2050-nucleotide long non-coding RNA is filed under the name Arabidopsis lyrata. RNAcentral's name for it is "long non-coding RNA (ALYR_LNC001172)". Lineage: Eukaryota; Viridiplantae; Streptophyta; Magnoliopsida; Brassicales; Brassicaceae. The record is from RNAcentral.
ACAUGAAUGAAGCAAUCUCUCCACAUGAGAGGAAAUGGUCGAAUAACGGACAAGACUAAAUAAUAUUCUGGCCCAAGUCCGGGCCCACCAAGAAGCACAGCCAUGCGUGGUGUGAGUGAAGAAGUAAUUGACAGCUAGGUUAGGGGAACGGAACGUGUCAGGAGGACCUUGCCGGAAAAGAGGCAACGGGAGAAGCUGGCUGAGACGAGACCAACGAAGGGAGGCAUAUCACUAUUCCCAUGAAAGUGAAUUCGUCGGCGGCUUUCUUCACGAGCAGAUCUAGAUCUGUUGAAGGAGAAGCUGGUGUGAACCUUAAUUGAAGAAGGAUCUUGGACUAUACAAGUCGAGAAAGAGUCAACAACGACUAUCCAAACCAUGUUGGGCAACACGAGAGAAGAAGAUGAGUAAGGUAUGUCCGGCGGAUCUGGUGGGUCCGGUGGGUCCAGUGAGUGAAGAGUGCUUUGCGAAGUGUUCAUCACCCUAUAGUGAGAGAGUACACUAACAAGAUCUGGCGGACAUACUCGCCGGUGCUGCAGGUGGCUGGCGGAAAAAGAGAGUGGAGCAAGGUAAGAUCUCACCGAAAACCAUGGUGGAAACAAAGUAGAAAGAUCUCGCCGGCGAAUGGAAACCGACGGAAUAUGAGACAAGGUCUUCGGACGAGUGGAUCCGAGAGAGUGGAAGAAGAACGCCGUUCAAAAGGAGGUAGAGUCAACAAAAUUGUCGCCGGAGAAGACACAUGUAUGAACUCUUGUUUUGAGAGUGUAAGCUCUUAAACAAUGUAGCAGCAGCACAUAUUCAUGUUUUAUGCAGACUUGUGUUGCGUUAACACACGGUACUUAUGCUUGAAUGAAUCUGUGAGAACAAGGAGUUCUUUUCUCGGGUGGAGCAAUGGUUUCCCACUCUCUAUUUUCUUAUUCUUAGUAAGUUUUGGCAUUAUCAGAUUAUAGAGAAUGUUCCAGGAAGAAGAGCCAAGGUUGUUGAAACAGGUUCUUGGUGGUUAAAGUGGAUCAGGUCAAGUGGCUACAAGACGAAAGAGGAUGUGUCACAUGUUCAGACAUACUUUCUCAAGCUCUAAGACAUGGUUAACAUUGAAGAACAUGUGAAUUGUUCCAAGGAAUUGUUCAAAGCAACAUUAAAGAAUGGUUUUAACUUAGAUUGGUGAAGCUAAGGUUAUAGAGACAUAGUACAUCCAAGGGUUAUGGUUUCAGGUAUUGUUGCUACAAGAAAAGCAACGCAUAUCCUAAAGAUAUCUCCUGGUGGAGCUACGUUUGUUGGAUGAUUGUUCAGCUGAAAGUAAAGAGUUAAAAGGUUGCAUAACUUUGUUUCAGAGUGCUAAGAAGAAAGCAAGUUAAGCACAUAAGGUUAUCAAUGGGUGUUCAGCUUAAGCAUGGUUACAAUCUAAUGGUAAAAGGUUUGUUACAGAUUUGGUUUGAAGCUGGGUGUUGGUAAGGAUUGUCAGAAACAUAUUGCAGGUUUUCUAGAGAAGAGUUGCAGGUUUCUGGAGUUUUUCCAGAGAAUACACAAAUUUAUGGUCUGAGAUGAAGCUAUUGAAUUAAUUUCAGUUGUUUUUUUUUCUAAAGAAGAAACUGAAGGAGACAAAAGCAAGUGAUACAUGAUUUGUCUCAAGGGUGCUUACUUCAAGAAUGUGAAGGUGUUGUGUAUCUAACUAGAUAAACAACUCAUCUCAAAGCUAGUGUCAGAAGCUGGAAAAGAGAAGUCCUAGAAAGGAUGAAAAUGCAGAGAAAUCUAGCUGCACUUCGAAGAAACCAACUAAUGAGUUCAAAGUUGUUUGUUUGCAUAAUGAGGAGAAUACAUAAGUGUCUACUCAUGGGAAGUAAUUUGCAGGUCAGUCAAGUGAAUGAUCUAAAAGAAGAAGAGGGCCUUCCCUAAAGACUGCAAAUUGAAUAAUGCAAUAGCCAAAUUCGUUUUGGUGGAGGAUACAUACAAGAAAAAGUGAUGCAGGUUGUUCUUUACAGCUUGAAAGAGACAUCAAGGGUUCUAGAGUUGAUGUGUAAGCUGUUAUAAGGACGUGUCUCAGGGAUAUCACAAG